This 1272-nucleotide ribosomal RNA is filed under the name Xanthomonas vasicola pv. musacearum NCPPB 4392. RNAcentral's name for it is "bacterial LSU rRNA". It matches the Rfam family "Bacterial large subunit ribosomal RNA", at positions 1 to 1322 of the family's 2925-position model. The record is from RNAcentral. Lineage: Bacteria; Pseudomonadati; Pseudomonadota; Gammaproteobacteria; Lysobacterales; Lysobacteraceae.
GUUAUAUGGUCAAGCGAAUAAGCGCACACGGUGGAUGCCUAGGCGGUCAGAGGCGAUGAAGGACGUGGUAGCCUGCGAAAAGUGUCGGGGAGCUGGCAACAAGCUUUGAUCCGGCAAUAUCCGAAUGGGGAAACCCACUGCUUCGGCAGUAUCCUGCAGUGAAUUCAUAGCUGCUGGAAGCGAACCCGGUGAACUGAAAUAUCUAAGUAACCGGAGGAAAAGAAAUCAACCGAGAUUCCCUAAGUAGUGACGAGCGAACGGGGAGCAGCCCUUAAGCUGGAAUGGCUUUAGAAAAACAAUCUGGAAAGAUUGGCCAUAGAAGGUGAUAGCCCUGUAUUUAAAAGGGCCACUCCAGUGAAGACGAGUAGGGCGGGGCACGUGAAACCCUGUCUGAAUAUGGGGGGACCAUCCUCCAAGGCUAAAUACUCCUGACCGACCGAUAGUGAACCAGUACCGUGAGGGAAAGGCGAAAAGAACCCCGGAGAGGGGAGUGAAAUAGAUCCUGAAACCGUGUGCGUACAAGCAGUAGGAGCUCGCAAGAGUGACUGCGUACCUUUUGUAUAAUGGGUCAGCGACUUACUGUUCGUGGCAAGCUUAACCGUAUAGGGGAGGCGAAGGGAAACCGAGUCUGAUAAGGGCGCAUAGUCGCGGGCAGUAGACCCGAAACCGGGUGAUCUAGUCAUGGCCAGGGUGAAGGUGCCGUAACAGGUACUGGAGGCCCGAACCCACGUCUGUUGCAAAAGACGGGGAUGAGCUGUGAUUAGGAGUGAAAAGCUAAUCGAACCCGGAGAUAGCUGGUUCUCCUCGAAAGCUAUUUAGGUAGCGCCUCGGACGAAUACUACUGGGGGUAGAGCACUGUUAUGGCUAGGGGGUCAUCGCGACUUACCAAACCAUUGCAAACUCCGAAUACCAGUACGUACUAUCCGGGAGACACACGGCGGGUGCUAACGUCCGUCGUGAAAAGGGAAACAACCCAGACCCACAGCUAAGGUCCCAAAUUCACUGCUAAGUGGAAAACGAUGUGGAAAGGCAUAGACAGCCAGGAGGUUGGCUUAGAAGCAGCCACCCUUUAAAGAAAGCGUAAUAGCUCACUGGUCGAGUCGGUCUGCGCGGAAGAUUUAACGGGGCUAAGCAGUGAACCGAAGCUUGGGGUGCAUAAAACUUGUUUUAUGCGCGGUAGAGGAGCGUUCCGUAAGCCUGCGAAGGUGGAUUGAGAAGUCUGCUGGAGGUAUCGGAAGUGCGAAUGCUGACAUGAGUAACGAUAAUGCGGGU